Molecule: transfer RNA, 66 nt
Filed under: human gut metagenome
Also listed under: 1 other name
Rfam family: tRNA
About the family: Transfer RNA (tRNA) molecules are approximately 80 nucleotides in length. Their secondary structure includes four short double-helical elements and three loops (D, anti-codon, and T loops).
Source: RNAcentral
GUAGUAGCUCAGUUGGUUAGAGCAUCGGAUUGUGGUUCCGAGGGUCGAGGGUUCGAGUCCCUUUUA